CUUCGGGUGAGCGGCGGACGGGUUAGUAACGCGUGGGAACGUACCCUUCUCUACGGAAUAGCCUUUGGAAACGAAGAGUAAUACCGUAUACGCCCUUUGGGGGAAAGAUUUAUCGGAGAAGGAUCGGCCCGCGUUAGAUUAGAUAGUUGGUGGGGUAACGGCCUACCAAGUCUACGAUCUAUAGCUGGUUUUAGAGGAUGAUCAGCAACACUGGGACUGAGACACGGCCCAGACUCCUACGGGAGGCAGCAGUGGGGAAUCUUAGACAAUGGGCGCAAGCCUGAUCUAGCCAUGCCGCGUGAGUGAUGAAGGCCUUAGGGUCGUAAAGCUCUUUCGCCUGUGAUGAUAAUGACAGUAGCAGGUAAAGAAACCCCGGCUAACUCCGUGCCAGCAGCCGCGGUAAUACGGAGGGGGUUAGCGUUGUUCGGAAUUACUGGGCGUAAAGCGCACGUAGGCGGAUUGGAAAGUUGGGGGUGAAAUCCCGGGGCUCAACCCCGGAACUGCCUCCAAAACUAUCAGUCUAGAGUUCGAGAGAGGUGAGUGGAAUUCCAAGUGUAGAGGUGAAAUUCGUAGAUAUUUGGAGGAACACCAGUGGCGAAGGCGGCUCACUGGCUCGAUACUGACGCUGAGGUGCGAAAGUGUGGGGAGCAAACAGGAUUAGAUACCCUGGUAGUCCACACCGUAAACGAUGAAUGCCAGUCGUCGGGCAGUAUACUGUUCGGUGACACACCUAACGGAUUAAGCAUUCCGCCUGGGGAGUACGGUCGCAAGAUUAAAACUUAAAUGAAUUGACGG
This 795-nucleotide ribosomal RNA is filed under the name uncultured Roseovarius sp. RNAcentral describes it as "bacterial SSU rRNA". It matches the Rfam family "Bacterial small subunit ribosomal RNA", at positions 85 to 916 of the family's 1533-position model. Lineage: Bacteria; Pseudomonadati; Pseudomonadota; Alphaproteobacteria; Rhodobacterales; Roseobacteraceae. The record is from RNAcentral.